RNAcentral lists this transfer RNA (75 nucleotides) under archaeon. Its description in RNAcentral is "tRNA-His". It matches the Rfam family "tRNA". Rfam says of the family: Transfer RNA (tRNA) molecules are approximately 80 nucleotides in length. Their secondary structure includes four short double-helical elements and three loops (D, anti-codon, and T loops). The record is from RNAcentral.
GUUGUAGUGGUGUAAUGGCUAGCAUAGAGGCCUGUGGAGCCUCAGGUCCGGGUUCAAAUCCCGGCUACAACCCCA